This 1831-nucleotide ribosomal RNA is filed under the name Rhodococcus sp. HA99. Its description in RNAcentral is "bacterial LSU rRNA". It matches the Rfam family "Bacterial large subunit ribosomal RNA", at positions 1210 to 2925 of the family's 2925-position model. The record is from RNAcentral. Lineage: Bacteria; Bacillati; Actinomycetota; Actinomycetes; Mycobacteriales; Nocardiaceae.
UGCAGUGGUGUGGAUGGGUAGGGGAGCGUCGUGCAGCCGUGGAAGCAGCAGUGUGAACUAGUUGUGGAGGCUGCACGAGUGAGAAUGCAGGCAUGAGUAGCGAAAGACGAGUGAGAAACUCGUCCGCCGAAUGACCAAGGGUUCCUGGGCCAGGUUAAUCCGCCCAGGGUGAGUCGGGACCUAAGGCGAGGCCGACAGGCGUAGUCGAUGGACAACGGGUUGAUAUUCCCGUACCCGUGUGAACGCGCCCCUGAUGAAUCACUGGUACUAACCGUCCAAAAGGGCUUUGUUCUCCUUCGGGAGUUCGGGGUCUGGCUGCACGGGACCUUCGGUGGUAGUAGUCAAGCGAUGGGGUGACGCAGGAAGGUAGCUGGGCCGGCUGGUGGAUUAGCCGGUGUAAGCCUGUAGGGCGUGACAUAGGUAAAUCCGUGUCGCAUGUGCCUGAGAGGUGAUGCGUAGCCGUUGUGGUGAAUUCAGUGAUCCUAUGCUGCCGAGAAAAGCCUCUAGCGAGCUUUCACAUGGCCCGUACCCCAAACCGACACAGGUGGUCAGGUAGAGAAUACUAAGGCGAUCGAGAUAACUGUGGUUAAGGAACUCGGCAAAAUGCCCCCGUAACUUCGGGAGAAGGGGGACCUCGUCUGGUGAAGAGUCUUGCACUCUGAGCUGGGUGGGGUCGCAGAGACCAGAGAGAAGCGACUGUUUACUAAAAACACAGUCCGUGCGAAGUCGUAAGACGAUGUAUACGGACUGACGCCUGCCCGGUGCUGGAAGGUUAAGAGGACCGGUUAGCUGCAUUUGUGUGGCGAAGCUGAGAAUUUAAGCCCCAGUAAACGGCGGUGGUAACUAUAACCAUCCUAAGGUAGCGAAAUUCCUUGUCGGGUAAGUUCCGACCUGCACGAAUGGCGUAACGACUUCUCUGCUGUCUCGACCACAGACUCGGCGAAAUUGCAUUACGAGUAAAGAUGCUCGUUACGCGCGGCAGGACGAAAAGACCCCGGGACCUUCACUAUAGCUUGGUAUUGGUGUUCGGUUCGGUUUGUGUAGGAUAGGUGGGAGACUGUGAAGCGGGCACGCCAGUGUUUGUGGAGUCGUUGUUGAAAUACCACUCUGAUCGUAUUGGAUGUCUAACCUCGGGCCCUGAUCGGGUUCAGGGACAGUGCCUGGUGGGUAGUUUAACUGGGGCGGUUGCCUCCUAAAAUGUAACGGAGGCGCCCAAAGGUUCCCUCAGCCUGGUUGGCAAUCAGGUGUUGAGUGUAAGUGCACAAGGGAGCUUGACUGUGAGACUGACAGGUCGAGCAGGGACGAAAGUCGGGACUAGUGAUCCGGCACCGGCAUGUGGAAGCGGUGUCGCUCAACGGAUAAAAGGUACCCCGGGGAUAACAGGCUGAUCUUCCCCAAGAGUCCAUAUCGACGGGAUGGUUUGGCACCUCGAUGUCGGCUCGUCGCAUCCUGGGGCUGGAGUAGGUCCCAAGGGUUGGGCUGUUCGCCCAUUAAAGCGGCACGCGAGCUGGGUUUAGAACGUCGUGAGACAGUUCGGUCUCUAUCCGCCGCGCGCGUUAGAAACUUGAGGAAGGCUGUCCCUAGUACGAGAGGACCGGGACGGACGAACCUCUGGUGUGCCAGUUGUCCCGCCAGGGGCACGGCUGGUUGGCUACGUUCGGAAGGGAUAACCGCUGAAAGCAUCUAAGCGGGAAGCCUGUUCCAAGAUGAGGUUUCUCACCCCUUUUUGUGGGGGUAAGGCCCCCGGCAGACCACCGGGUUGAUAGGUCGGAACUGGAAGCACAGUAAUGUGUGGAGGUGACCGGUACUAAUAGGCCGAGGACUUACCAUG